CCCUUAUUUCUAUCUGAACCAUCGUCGUCUCUGUUUUCUACCCUUUUCCUUGUUCGAUUUCUCCUCUCUGGUCUGCUGCUCUGUCUCCACCAUCCCUGGCCAGCUCCUCCAUCUCAUCCUGAUUUGGUUUACCAUUCGAUCCUGCUCCUGUGCUCUCUGUAAGUUCUUGCUUUCUCUUCACUUCCAUAGCUUAUUUGUUACACGAUUUCUUCGUGCCCUCCGUAGACUUGGAGUUGCUUUUAAGAGGACAAAAGGAAGAUGCAGCAGAGAAAAUCAGGGAGGCCAUCUGGAACCGAUGGCUCUGAUUUCUCGUAUAGGAUGGUCGUUGAUUCCCGUUAUACAAAGGUAGCCAAAGGAAAGUCUCGUCUCUAUGCACUGAUCUUAACUCAGGCUGUCAUUCUAUUGAUAGGACUGCUAUAUAUUGUUUUAUCAACAUCAAAGGAGAAUGGUCCAAACAAACUCACUAUUUCAUCUUCCGUCAUUGGGUUGAUUUCUCUUCUCAUCGGGGAAUUAGGUCGAAGACGGAG
RNAcentral lists this unclassified non-coding RNA (527 nucleotides) under Hevea brasiliensis (rubber tree). Lineage: Eukaryota; Viridiplantae; Streptophyta; Magnoliopsida; Malpighiales; Euphorbiaceae. The record is from RNAcentral.